UUUAUGGAGAGUUUGAUCCUGGCUCAGGAUGAACGCUGGCGGCGUGCCUAAUACAUGCAAGUCGAGCGAACGGACGAGAAGCUUGCUUCUCUGAUGUUAGCGGCGGACGGGUGAGUAACACGUGGAUAACCUACCUAUAAGACUGGGAUAACUUCGGGAAACCGGAGCUA
Molecule: ribosomal RNA, 170 nt
Filed under: Staphylococcus aureus
Lineage: Bacteria; Bacillati; Bacillota; Bacilli; Caryophanales; Staphylococcaceae
Description: partial 16S ribosomal RNA
Rfam family: Bacterial small subunit ribosomal RNA
Source: RNAcentral